This 228-nucleotide ribosomal RNA is filed under the name uncultured bacterium. RNAcentral's name for it is "partial 16S ribosomal RNA". It matches the Rfam family "Bacterial small subunit ribosomal RNA", at positions 107 to 334 of the family's 1533-position model. The record is from RNAcentral.
UGAGUAACGCGUAUGCAACUUGCCUAUCAGAGGGGGAUAACCCGGCGAAAGUCGGACUAAUACCGCAUGAAGCAGGGAUCCCGCAUGGGAAUAUUUGCUAAAGAUUCAUCGCUGAUAGAUAGGCAUGCGUUCCAUUAGGCAGUUGGCGGGGUAACGGCCCACCAAACCGACGAUGGAUAGGGGUUCUGAGAGGAAGGUCCCCCACAUUGGUACUGAGACACGGACCAA